AGGUCCACCUGAACUCCUGAUCUCACCUGGGGGGGUCAAGAUGAGAUAUCAAGGAUGCAUAGCAGUAAGUAGAAAAGUGGCCUCUGCAACUCGUCGUGUGGGGCUCCACACAGCAGCUUUCCAUCUGCGAUGCUUCCCCACAAUAUGACAAGAUCCAUCUGUGAACAGUGUUGCGAACCCCCGAGGGUUCGAAACCGGAAUCUAGUCCGUUCGCUGGCCGAGCCACGUGGGGAGUGAUGACAUGACCCAAUAUGAGUGCAUCAGAAUCUCCGUUUAUUAUCCAUUACUUACACACAUAUAUAGAUCGUGGCGAAUGUGCGUCAGCGUGUAAUUGGUUGAAGCAUCGCGAAAAGCCCCCUGCCUAAGAAUACUAGUGGUCGUGCAUGUUUUCAUACCAUUCCACUGUCUUAAUCUCUUCCCAGGCUAGCUACCCCCUUAUCUUAACUGAAGCCUCAGUUUGUCUUCCUGCUUUGACAGCUUCAAGGUCUCAUAGCCUGGGUAGUGCACAUAGCACCCGAGCUCACAGCCAUUAUAACAAGCUAGUACUUUUCCAUCUGUAUCCCCUGCCAAUUGUUAGGCCUUUUCUGCUCGUACAACUGUUCAAGAGACCCAUGACCCCCUUGGCUGUGGAGCCAUCCCUCAACAGAACAGGGUAUAUUUCUUUUCAUUUUCUGGAAGUUCAUUGUAUGGUGGGGCUUCUUUAGCACGUGAUACCUCCUCUCCUGGUGAUUUUCCAAACUUUUUACCUUCCGGACAGUCCAUGAUCGCCUCUAAGAUUCCUGGAUGACUGAGGUUCCCCAUCCGAGCCCGUUGCGUAAUCAGCGCAAUCCACUUACUCCAAGUGGCAUCAGUAGCAUGAUGGGUAGAGGGAACCUUUCCCUUGAACAUCCAGUUCAACACUGGCAAUCGAGGUGCUAGAAGGAGCUGCGUUUCAGUACCAACUACUUCAGAAGCAGCUCUAACCCCCUCAUAUACAGCUAAGAUCUCCUUUUCAGUUGGAGUGUAGUGCUCUUCAGACCCCCUGUAGGCCCGACUCCAGAGUCCCAGGGGUCGGCCUCGGGUCUCCCCUGAGGCUCUUUACCACAAACUUCAGGUGGGACCUUUCUCUCCAGCAGCAGUGUAGAGGAUGUUCUUUACAUCCUGUUCCGUCCGUAGUGGCCCCAGGGCCACGGCACGGGCUAUCUCCUGUUUGAUCUGCUCAAAAGCCUGCUGCUGUUCAGGACCCCACGUGAAAUCAUUCUUCUUCCGCGUCACUUGAUAAAGGGGGCUUACAAUGAGGCUAUAGUUUGGAACAUGCAUUCUCCAAAAGCCCACUACGCCCAGAAAAGACUGUGUCUCUUUCUUAUUAGUGGGCAGAGACAUGGCAGUGAUUUUGUCAGCCACAUUUGCUGGGAUGUGACGGCAUCGUCCACCUUGCCAUUUUAUGCCUAGAAACUGAAUCUCUUGUGCAGGUCCUUUCACUUUGCUUCGCUUAAUAGAGAAACCAGCACUAAGAAGGAUCUGGAUUACUUGCUCUCCGUUCUCAAAAACUUCCCUUGCUGUGUUUCCCCACACAGUAAUGUCGUCAAUGUACUGUAAGUGCUCAAGAGCACCUCCCUGUUCCAGUGCAGCUUGAAUCAACCCAUGGCACAUUGUUGGGCUGCAUUUCCACCCCUGGGGCAAACGAUUCCAGGUAUACUGAACGCCCCUCCAGGUGAAAGCAAACUGUGGCCUACAUUCCGUGGCCAAUGGAAUGGAAAAGAAAGCAUUAGCAAUGUCAGUGUUGGCAUACCACUUGACUGCUUUUGACUCCAGUUCAUAUUGGAGUUCUAACAUGUCCGGCACAGCAGCACUCAGCGGGGGUGUGACUUCAUUCAGGCCGUGGUAGUCUACCGUCAGCCUCCAUUCUCCACUGGCUUUACGCACUGGCCAUAUGGGGCUGUUAAAAGGCGAGUGAGUUUUGCUGAUCACUCCCUGACUCUCUAGUUGACGAAUCAACUUCUGAAUGGGGAGUAAGGAGUCCCUGUUAGUGUGGUACUGCCGUCUAUGCACCAUUUUUGUAGCCAUCGGUACCUGUUGGUCUUUUACGCCACAAUCCCACAACAGACGGAUCUUCUGAUAGGCCAGACAACGCAGACAACUAACACCUGUGUUUACAGCAGCUAUUCCAAAGGCCCAUUGAUACCCUUUGGGAUCCUUAAAGUAUCCCCUUCUGAGGUAAUCAAUACCAAGUAUACAUGGAGCCCCUGGACCAGUCACAAUAGGAUGUUUUUGCCAGUCUUUGCCAGUGAGACUUAUUUCUUCCUCCAACAUAGUCAACUCUUGGGAACCCCCAGUCACCCCAUGAAUAUAAAUUGAUUCUGUCCAUUGGUGACUCGAGGGCAUUAGAGAGCACUGUGCACCAGUGUCUACCAGUGCCUUAAAUUUCUGUGGUUUGAUGUGCCAGGCCAUCUAAUCCACACAGUCCAAUACACUCUAUUAUCCCUUUUCCCCUCUUGGCUGGGGGCAGGGCCCCUCUAUUUGUUACCUUGGUUGUCUGCAGCAAGUGGAGCGAUCACCCUUUUGGAGGACUUCACCUUGGUGGUUGAUCUGUCUUGUAGUUCUCUUAUCCGUGCUUGAAGUGCAGAAGUGGGUUUCUUUUGCCACUUCUUCAUAUCUUCUCCAUGGUCACGCAGGUAACGCCACAAGGCAAGACGUGUUAUAGUCUUACCGUUAUCAUUUCCUCUAGCAGGAGGACGUCCCCUUUUGAUGGCUGAGAUGUUGGAUGAUGUAGGUCGGGAGGACACCAAGUUGAUCAGCUCUUCCAGUGGAGGGUUUUGGGAAUUCUGGUCCUCGUCCACCAUGCAUCCAUCAGCAUCAUGUUUGGUAGACAGUUCGUCUAUUAUAUCUUCUUGUUUGCUCUCUAUUCUGUCUAGCUUUUCAACUAUCCUUGUGAUGGCUGAAACACAAGCUUGCAGAGGAUUUAAAUGCAACUCAAAGUCUUGGAGUCUAUUAACCAGAUCAUCUAUAAGGGGUCUUCUUUCUCCUCUGCCAUACAUUGCUGCAAAUGUACUGGCAUACCUUUCUGGUGCAGUCUUAGUGAAUGUGCGCCACAUAUUUGGUGUACACCGGACUCUCUCAGGAUCAUGCUCUUGGUCUGGCUCAUCAGGGAGGAAGUCAGGGCUGUAUAUCAUUUCCACCACAGCACAUUCUCUCAAAUAACAGAUGCCCUUUUCCAUAUCAGUCCAUUUCCUUUUCUCAGGCAUGAGAUCAUCUUUAAAGGGGUGUUUUUUUCUCAUGGCUAACAACAUCCACUUCCAGAGGGUGAAGGCCUGGUUCUGGCAUGUGCUAAUACAUCUGUCAAUGGCUGAGUCCCUAGCAAUGCCGCCGAGCUGACGAGCUUCUCUGCUAUCUAGCCACACACUGUUGGCCCCACUGUCCCAGCAUCGAAGUAACCAGGUGACAAUAGGCUCAUUGGGGUGGCGUGUGAAGUCCUUUCUCAGACCACGAAUUUUGUUCAUUUUCAAAGAUCUAUCCACAAUGGUUACGAUGUCUUGCUCACCUCCUGCUCUUUCAGGACUUCCUGCCCUCCUUGGUGUUUGUGCAUGCAGUCUUAUUGAGGGCAUGGGCACUCCAGUUCCUUGGAGCCACUCCACUGGACCUCUUUCCUCCUCUUCUCUUACAUCGCCUGCUUCCUCUACUUCAGCCUCCUCCUCUUCUCUUACAUUGACUGCUUCCUCUACUACACCCUCCUCCUCUUUCUUCUGUUCUAACUGAGUGGAAAUUCGUUUUGUUUUUCGUCCUCUUACAGGGGCAACUGACAUUGAUUCUGGUGCCUCCUGCGGUUGAUCAGGUUGGUCAGUCCCGAUGCUCUUACUCUCCAGCUCGUCUCGGAGUCUAUCUCGCUGAAUUAUAAGAGUGCUUAAUUCAGAUUCGAGCUUGGCUUGAUGAGACUGAAUUUUGGUUAUCUCACUUUGGAGACUGAAUUGUGUGUGCUGGAGAGCAUCUCGCUCAGUUCGGAGUACAUCCCAUUCGGACUCGAGGGUGUUCCUCUUGAACUGGAGUGUGUUUCGCUCCGACCAGAGGGCAUCAUGUUCAAAUUGCAGGUUGUCAAGUUUGAAUUGCAGGGAGUCUCUUUCGUUUUGGAGGGCGCCUCUCUUAGACUGGAGCAUAUCUUGCUCAGACUGGAAGGUAUCAUGUUGAAGUUGGAGGUUGCCAAGUUUGGAUUGCAGGAAGUCUCUCUCGUUUUGGAGGGCAUCUCUCUCAGACUGGAGUGUGUCUCACUCAGACCGGAGAUUCUCCUUCUCAGCUUGGAGACCCUCUCGCUCGGCCCAGAGACUCUCCUUUUCGGCUUGGACUCUCAAUUUCUAGAAUUCUUUCCCUCUCUGGGAUAGUAUUAAAUAAGGCCCGAUAAGCAUUAGCCAGGCCCCAAAUGAUUUGUGCCUCCUCAGACCUGCCUAGGCCCUGUCUCAAAUAUCUGUUUAGGCUCACGGGAUCUUUUAGGUGUUCAGGAGUAAAGUUCCAUGACACCAAACAUGUCCAUCUCUCUAAAGUCUCUCCCAAAUCUCUCCACACACCCUGCCACUCAGUAUUCUCUGGUUUUGGAGGGGACUUGUUCAGAAUAUGAUAAAUCCAGAUACUGAGUGAAAUAAUUACAAUGACAAACAGUGCAUUCAGGGAGAUUAACAACGUGAUCAAAUGAGCAUUCAAACAAUCCAUAAAGGAUUCGCAAGAGAGACUGGGAACCUGCUUCAAAAUUGCAAGUUCUGUGAAAUUAGCACCUCUCUCUACAAACUGGAUUAAAACAAAGAACAGAAUCAUUUUUUUUAUCAUUUUAUUUCUUCUUCUUUACUAAUGCAAGAUAGCAGUGCUCAAAGUUACAAAAUAUCUCAAAAUAUUGGCAGUCCGCCUGGACUUUCAAGGUCAAGUUUGCAGUGAGCACCUAUGAAAGUGAUAAACUUUUCCAACAAAGCUCUCUGAGAGCAGAGAGAGAUUCGUUCUAAAAAGCAGCUUGUGCCUGCAUUCUCCACCAAAAAUGUCAACGGUUUAAGGGCUGGUCCAGUCCUGUUCCAUGACUAGUGGGGCGAAGGGAUUUCACAAAAUCCACGCCUCCAGGAAGGGAAACAGGGGACCCCAAAAUAAUUAAAAACAGCAGCAACGAUCUGAGGAGAAACAAACUAAUUUACUAAAUAUAGUAUCAGAAUGUAAGAUAACACACUAUAAUACAAUAUAAAAAAACAAUAAUUGAGAGAAAGAUUGUCUGAGAGCCAAAGGCCUUACACUAAUACUGAAGCCUUGCGUGCAGUCGGGAGCAGCAGUAGCGAGCCGAUCCGACAGGGAACACGGCGAGAUGAGAAGAUGGACGAGUCAGAUGACCUGCGCCCUUAUAUCUGUUCCCCUGAGCAGGAAUGAUAACAGUACUCGAAAAGGCUCUUGGGGACCGUAGUUCUUCUUCUCUUCCAGACAGGUACCCGGAACUAAAGCAUUUUCUCUUUAACUCCCAGUACACUGCAUGAUGUUGUGAUGUAGAAUACUGAUAACCAAAAAUCAUAAAACCAUGACACAUGGGAUCCCUGAAAUGCUCCCUUCUGAGGUUAUCAAUACCAAGUAUGCAUGGAGCCCCUGGGCCAGUCACAAUAGGGUGCUUUUGCCUGUUUUUACCAGUGAGGCAUAUUUCGGCCUCCAACACAGACAAUUCCUGAGAUUCUCCAGUCACUCUAGAAAUAGAAAUCAAUUCUGACCCUUGGUGACUUGAGGGCAUUAGAGUGUACUGUGCACCAGUGUCCACUAGUGCCUUAUAUUUCUGUGAAUCUGACGUGCUGGGCUAUCGAGUCCAUUCAGUCCAAUAAACUCUACUGUCCCUUUUCCCCCUGACUGAGGGUAGGGCCCCUCUAUUCAUUACCUGCAGUAACUGGAGUACUUGCAUUGUUGGUUGAUCUGUUUUGUAGUUCUCUCACCCGUGCUCGUAGUACAGGAGUGGGUUUUUUAUGCCACAUCUUCAUGUAUUCUCCAUGCUCGCAUAAAUAACUCUACAACGCAGCAUGUGACAUAGAUUUACUGCUGUUAUUUGCUUGGGCAGGAAGACGUUUGACUGUAAUAGCUGAGAUUUUUGAUGUUACGGGUGAGGAGGAGGGAUCAUCGCCUUUGAUUAGUUUGAUCAGAUCCUUCAGUAGACUCCUUUGAUCAUCCUGAUCUUCAUCAGGUGUUUCUGAUACUACCAUGGGUUCAUCAUGAUUAAUCAACAGUGACAAUUCCUCCAGCAUACCGUCCAGUUUCUUCUCCACUUUAACUAGUCUUUCUGUUACUUUUGAGAUGGCUGAAAUGGAAGCAUGCGUUGAAGGUAACUGUUGUUCAAAGAUUUGAAGCAUAAUAAUCUGUUCAAAAACUAGAGGUCUUCUCUGUUUGUCCUUGUGUCUGUCAAUUGUUGCUGUUAGUGUACCAGCAUACUUUUCUGGUGCUGUUCUUGGGAGUUUCCGCCAUAUAUCGGGUGUACUCCCCACUCUCUCACGAUCAUAGUCCUGGCGUGGAAUGUUAGGAACAAACAUGGGGUCAUACAACAUCUCCACCAUGGCUUUUCUCUCAAAUACUGGGUAACUUUUUCAACAGCAUUCCACUUUUUCAUCUCAGGCUUCAGAUUUUCUUUGAAGUGAUAUCUUUCCUUCACGGCUGCUAACACUCGUUCCCAGAGGGUGGCUGCUUCGUCUGAACAUCUACUAAUCCCUCUGUCAGUAGCUGAGUCUCCAGCAAUGCCUCCUAGUUGGCGAGCUGCGUUACCAUCCAGAAACACACUGUUGGCCCCGGUGUCCCAACAGCGAAGCAACCAGGUAACAAGAGUUUCAUUCAGACGCCGUGUAAACUCCUUUCUUGAGCCUUGGAUUUCAGUCAUCUUCACAGGUCGACGAGUAGUGGUAACAGUGACUUCCUCCUUCUCACUCUCCUCUCUUUGUCUCUUCAAUUUUUCCGUUGCCUUUCUUGAUGACGGUGGUUUUCGGAAGUGCCCUUCACCUGCAUCUUCCCUUACUUCCUCUGUGCCUUCUUCUUCUUUCCCUUCUAGACGUGAGGACACCCGUUUCCAUUUCUGUCCCUCCACAGGGGAAACUGACAUCAAUACUGGUGCCUCCUGUGAUUGAUCAGGAUUGACUUGGAGGCUUCCCCCUAUGGUUUGGAUCUCAGUUUGGAAAUUCUCUCUCUCCAGAAGAGUAUUAUAUAGAGCUCGGUAAGCAUGAGCCAAGCCCCAAAUAAGAUGUGCCUCCUUAGAUCUUCCUAAGCCACACCAUCCCUGACUCAGACACUCGCUUAGUUUCUCGGGAUACCACAGAUGUUCAAGAGUGAAAUCCCAUGACACUGCGGGUCUCCAUGCUUCUAAGGUUUUUCCUAGACCUCUCCAUAUUCCUUGCCAUUCAGCAUUCUCUGGUUUUGGAGAAGACUUCUUCCACAUCAAGUAAAUGGAGAGGAAUACAUUCAGGGAAAUCGAUAACACGCUCACUAACUCGGCAUUCCAAAAAUGGGUAAGGAACUGAGAAGAGAGCCUGGAAACCAGUUUGAACAUCGUGUUGUUCGUAAAAUUAGCUACUAAAUCUGGGAUGUAAUUGUCAAUAUUCAAAUCAUACAACAUUGUAUUUAAGUACCAGAUGUGUCUCCCUCAGUGCCCUUACUUGGUUAUAUAUGGUUGCAACUCCAAAACAGAAAAUGAUUAACUUAAUAAGAAACCAAUAAGUUCCAAUAAACAUAAUGACCUUUAAUCCUUUAUACAGUGCUCCCAAAAUAAAGAGCAGAUUCAUAGCUGGCAGUUGCUAAAAGGAGAACAAAAGAAACAAAAAAAACUUGGUAAGUGUUCAGAGUCUGGCAGACUGCCCCUGCCUACAAUCUAUAUUCUAUGAAGGUCAAAACUAGCUACAGUAGCUACAGUGCUUUGCAACUCCCUGUCUUUAUGAAAACCUUUUUUUUAAAUUUAUUUUAUUUUUUUUCCUGAUAAUGUUAAAAGGUUCAGAGUCAGUUCAGAUUGCUCGCAUUCUCCACCAACAGUACUGCUCAGGCUUUAGCCACACUCACCAAGUUAGAAUGUUUGCCAGCUAAGGAAAGUAAUGCCCCUAGUGAUGCUCUAGCAGGCUUGCCCACUGAUGUUGUUUCUAUCCUGCACGCAACUUGAGAAAAUUGUGCAACCUCUGAUUGUUUAUUCUUAGCCCAAGUGCAUGGGUAUGAAGAUUUUAAAAGCAUGUGUUGUAUGAACCUUAGUGAUAAUUCAAAAUCAAUAUAUCAGAGUAUACAAAGGUUGAAGAUUUCCUUUAAUCAGUUAUAGGUACACACAGAAUGGGACCCUCAGGGAUUCUUUUCCAGGUUUCAGGAACUUGGUCAUGGACCAAAUAUGUGUUCAUUCUUUUCUUAAUGGUUUUAAUAGUAUUUCUUGCCAUUAUGCUGUGUUUGCCUUGUCUCUUUUCUUAUGUUCAGCAUGUUAUCAAUCAAAGCCUUGAUCGAGUCAUGAUAACCUAAAUACAUCCAGCAAUACUGUUACAAAGUGUUAUACAAUGAAAGAGAAAGCUCUAAGUCAGGCGGUCAGGAUGUUGUGUACAAGGCGUGAUUAUGUUAUUAAUAUGAUUAGUGUUAUUAUUUUGUACUAUGGUAGUAGUUUGCUAAUGAACAAAAAAGGGGGAAUUGUGGGAAUACAAGAAAGACUAUUCAGAGCAGCAGCUGUGGAGCAAGAUAAACAGCAUGAGAAAGCAACACUGAGAACUAAGGACAUCUCCAGAAGAAGAGAAAAGUAAAAUCAAGUAAGCUGUGUGAUGGCCGUGUGAUGAUAACCCUGAUUGGAGAAAGUGCGCAUGGCUAGGAAUGACUCAUGUCUCUGAUUGGAUAAGCACCCGCAUGCACAGUUAAGGCGUGUUUGUGGAAUGUUGUUUUGUUGACAUGUAAAUGUGAGUGGGAAAGUUAUGAGAGAAAACUUGUGAAUGUAUGUAAGGGAUGUUAGAACCUGCAAUAAAUGCUUUGGAUUGCUCACAUCUGAGUCCGUGUAUCAGACACUGCAUCAGUGGAUGGCAGGAGUGUUCAGAUUGAGAGAAAGAUGCAUUAGCAUCUGUGCGGUGCAGGCAAUUUUAAGGGGCCAUGCAAAAAUUGAGCCCAUUUGUUUGCCACAACCACGCUGGAUCACGAAUACAAAACAAAUCACCAAGACCGUGCAGGAGCUGGAGAGAGUAGGGAUCGUUAGACCUGCACACAGCCUGUGCAACUCACUCAUAUGGCCAGUCAGCAAGUCAGGCGGUACAUGAUGAAUGAUGGUAGACUACAGAGAACUAAAUAGUCAUGCCGCUAACCUGUACAGCUGUACCCAAUGUUGUCUCUCUCAUAGAUACAUUAAGUAGAGAAAUAUAGAAACAUACCACUGCGUUCUGGAUCUAGCAAAUGCAUUUUUCAGCAUUCCAAUUGCUACAGAAUCCCAAGACCAGUUUGCAUUCACAUGGGAGGGCAGGCAGUGGACUUUUCAAGCUCUGCCUCAGGGGUACAUGCAUUCACCUACCUUUUGUCAUAAUCUGGUGGCACAUGACUUGGCAAAUUGGAACAAACAGUCUACCAUCAAAAUGUACCACUAUAUCAAUGAUCUAAUGUUAAUGUCCAAUGUAGGCAUUAGAGAAGGCAGUAACUUCACUAAUUGUCUAUUUACAAGAAAAAGGGUGGGCU
RNAcentral lists this long non-coding RNA (9630 nucleotides) under Gallus gallus (chicken). Lineage: Eukaryota; Metazoa; Chordata; Aves; Galliformes; Phasianidae. The record is from RNAcentral.